AGGACUUGUUGCCAUUUUCACCUGAAUAUUCUGUUGGGCAGUGCACGAAGAGCCUAAACCAUCCUUCAUCUUAUCGAGGUUACAACAACCAUGGAUAUAAUAAUUUGCCUUUUAGUUGUACUCGAUUAUUUCUAAAUUCGGUGAAGGAAAAUGAAUAAAUCCGUCGAAGCGCUUAUAGAAAACACAAUUCCAUCAAUCGAGGGAGACAUGAAGCGCACUAUGUGCUGUGGAUGACAUCGUUUUGUGCUAAGAAUUCAAUCGAAAUUACGUAAUCCACUUGGCGUAUCCAUGCAUCUUUAAAUGUCAUAGGUUUCCACAUUUCACAACUUUAAUUUAUUUCAUCACAAAAACGAUCUUUUUUACGUUGAUGCAAUUGGGAUUGUUAUUAUUUUUUUUUAACCCAGAUUUUUGGUUUAAAGUUUGCGUUGGUGCAAGCCAGGGAGUCAAACGCUGUGCAGAUUAAAGACGGAUUUGGAAAAGCUUUUUGGUUAACAUCACUCCAAAAUAGAACCGAUCAAUGGAGACAUUCAACAUCUGCAUUCCGAGCCAGCAUAAGUUUGGAUCCUUUAGCGCUUGACGUAACCACCAAACCAAAUGGAAACAACAGUUUUCUAAUCUAUAUCCAUACAAUUAUUAUGUUGCCUUUGAAUACAUUGUUACAUGUUACAAAUUAGUUCCAAUAGAAACAUUUGUUAUCAUACUAAAAGAUGUUGUAUGUAGUAUUAAUGUUUGUACGGAAUCUCCGUGCAACGUUCAUCAGGAAAAAUAUCAUAGACAAAUAGUUAUGUUUACUUAUAGGAAUUAUUUUCGAAUAUUAUAACUGUUGGCAUUUGCGUGUCUUAAAGCAUAGUAACUUACUGACUUGGUGUGCACUGUUCACCAUUGAAAUUGUUGUAUUAUAUAACCAUUCUAAGCUAAUUUAGUAAGAAAACUUACCUUUAAGGAGACUAGUAUUAAGUAAUCAAUGCAGUUGAAACACAAUAAAAUCACUCGCAAUGUUAUUCCACGAAAUACGAGAUUUUUAUUUGCAAUUUAUUGGUAGCUUAUACUUUCUAUAGAAUUUACAGUUUAUGGCAUUUGUGUGUCUUAAAUCGCUUUUAUAUG
This is a long non-coding RNA of Nicrophorus vespilloides, 1104 nucleotides long. RefSeq lists it as uncharacterized. The record is from RefSeq and is a predicted model, not a curated record. NCBI's taxonomy places the organism in Eukaryota, Metazoa, Arthropoda, Insecta, Coleoptera, Silphidae. The transcript is spliced from 5 exons.